CCGGGCGGUAAGGCUGGAGCUGCCCCCGGACGGGAGGCGGCCGAUCGCUAGGCGUUUCUAGCAAGAAUCGGGACUGCAGGAUGAAUAAGAGAUACUUACAGAAAGCAACAAAGGGAAAACUGCUAAUAAUAAUAUUUGUUGUAACGCUGUGGGGGAAAUUAGCAUCUGGGGCAAAUCACCAUAAAGCUCACCAUGUUAAAACUGGGACAUGUGAAGUGGUGGCUCUUCACAGAUGCUGCAAUAAGAAUAAGAUAGAAGAAAGAUCACAGACAGUGAAGUGUUCCUGCUUCCCUGGGCAGGUAGCAGGUACCACCCGGGCAGCUCCUUCUUGUGUUGAUGCUUCAAUAGUGGAGCAGAAAUGGUGGUGCCACAUGCAACCAUGUCUUGAAGGGGAGGAAUGUAAAGUUCUUCCAGAUCGUAAGGGAUGGAGCUGUUCCUCUGGGAAUAAAGUGAAAACAACUAGGCUAUGGCAGUAUUCCUGGAGCCAAAUGUGAGUGCACUUCCUCAAAAUGCCAGCAGUGGAAGCUGGUAAACAAGUGGGGAAAAAAUCACCAGAGGAAUCUCUGAAGCUUGUGACAAAGGCAGAAAACACAUCAGUACCGCACUAACAGAACAGCAGGUACUCUUAUAGUGAAGAUAAAAUUACAGGCAAACGUGUAAAACUCCUCAAGUCCGAAUGGAGAAGUAGAGAAAGGAGGUUUCUGCUGUGCCUGAUGACAAUUUUUGUUUUUCCACACACAAAAAAUAUUCUGGCUCCACGUUGGAGCACUAGUUGUGAUGAAUCCUAGUCUUGGUCGGAUUCUAAGGAAGGGCCAGAACGUUCGUUGAGGAAUAAAGAAUAAACCACUCCAGAAACUGAGUUCCAGCCCCGGUUUAUUACUCACAGAGCAGCAGGUAACCCGAUAGCUAAAGACGUAUCAAACCAGUCUCAAGGCCGAUAACGUUAAAUACAGCACAUAGGAAUUUCAUUCCUCCAGGCAAUCCUUGAAGAGAAAUUUUAUACUGCUGGGGUGUAUCCUUCAGAAUCAAUUGUUUCAAUGAGAACCUGGCUUGUAAUCAGCAGCAGCCUUGAGAUCUAAACUACUGGAAAGUUAUUUUGAACUUCUGUGUUACAAAUAUUUCAACUGAUUGAACUGUGUACACUUGUAAAAUUGCACUUGCUGAGGAAUUUGCAGCUGUAAUCAUGAGCCAAUAUUCUAAAGGUGCAGAAAAGCAGCAAACUUUUGAGUUCUCCAUUGCAGAUCAGUGGCUUUUCAUCUUGAAGAAGUCAACCUCUGAAAUAUAUUGGAUCCUUCACUUUAAAAUGAUCCCUGGUCCACUGCUCAGAUUGCUGGUGGGACUGCACACUGCUUUAAUUAAAUUUCUGUUGCAGAAAUUGUCCUCUGGCAUGGCGCAGUUUUAGACAUUUUUAUUUGUGUUCUAAUCUUGCAGCUCUCAAAGGUACAUAUUUAAAUAUCUUGAAGUUGCUUUGUUAUAGGAAUGGAAUUAUAUAUCCAUUGUUAAUAAUUAUUGUUGACAAGUAAUAGUUAUCUGAAUACAUCAGUCAUAUUAGAAUGUAUAGUCAGGUUGACAUGUUUCCCUAAGGCUAACCAACUACUGCAGCUUAACAGUUAAAGAAAGUAGUGGUCAAAAACUCAAUUACCACUUCUGUUUAAGGCAUUUUAUGUGUUUAAUAUAUACAUUUCCAUUUAGUUCAAAGGAAAUGGUUGUUCCCAAUAUGUACUUUACUUUCCUAACCUUUAAUUCAUUUAAAUUGAUGGUAAGCAGUCAAUUACACUAUUUCAUCCCUUUUUUAUAAAGGUAGGCAGGGAUGUAAAUGAGUUUUGCAAUUAUGAUAUUGGAUGGUAAUCAUUCAGAAUUUUUGUCUUUUUAUUAAAAAAUAAAAUCUAUUGCUUGAACCUAAGUACUGAUGGAUGCUUAUGUAGAUGUCUGCUCAGUUUGUUUGCCAUAAAGGAAAAAAGUCCUAGUGCUCUCCCAGUUUUACACUUCAUGGCUAUUUUGCUUGCUUACAGUAAUCCAAUUCAGAUUGUUUUGUUUUGUUAGAAAUUCUUGAACUUUGCAAUGUGUUGUUACAUGAAAAAAAAAUUCCUCAAUAUUUAAAGGCCUUAAGCAUCUUUGAGCUUUUUUCUAAGUUAUUACAGAAUGUAUGAUUUUAUACUUCAUUUAAUGUAUAUUGUACCAUCUGUAAUGUUGAUACAAAAGAAAUUUGGCAAUUACUUUUGGUGACACUACAUAAACAUACUGAUUAGAGGGAGUUCUGACUGUCUGCUUUGGUGAAUUGAAAUGAAAGCCACACAGACUUAAUGGUAGUCAAAAAUACAUACAGGUAAGCUUGUUUAAGUCCUGUGUGGUUACCAAACAAAGCAAACACACAAACAAACAAAAAACACCUCAAAAAAUGAAUAGAAGGAAAUGGUUUAAACAUCACAAGCCAUUGACAUGGCUAGUUUAGUUAUAUAUUAAGUUCCAUGAUGGAUGAACACUCUGGCGUGCUCUGCCUGUCACUGUAGCCCCUGCUGCUCCAAAACCAUUUCAUUACCUCUGCUGUAUUAUUGCACAGGAGAGCUUAAAUAAAAUAAAUGACUGUUUGGAAUAAAAUUGAGAAGUAUAUUCUAUCAUUCUGCUGGGACAUAAUAAAAAAUAUGUUGACAGAAAAAGAUCUUAUUUUCUGAUUAAAAUUUAAUUAGAAUAAACUGUUUGUAGCAGAAACUAGGUCUCUUGGUAUUUUAGGAUGGAUUAGUAUUUUAUGGAUUUGUGCUAAGAGGUUCAGAAUGGAAGGUAGCAUCUUAAAGAGGUUGUCUGGGACAGUGCAAAGUGUAAAUGUGCUGUUUUGUAAAAUCUGAAUAUGACCUCUAUUUGGUCAAAAAUCUAUAUCAUGCUUCUCAAUACUUGUUUUCUUUGUUUCCUUGUUCCUAAACAGCGCUGAAAAUACUGUAUUAUAUACAAGUGUAGCACAUGCAUACCAAUAAAUGAAAAUAAAUGGAUUUUCAAAUAUACUGAA
RNA transcript from Cyanistes caeruleus (blue tit), 3001 nucleotides. It is a transcript of the gene named TAFA chemokine like family member 2, with no coding region annotated. NCBI's taxonomy places the organism in Eukaryota, Metazoa, Chordata, Aves, Passeriformes, Paridae. The record is from RefSeq and is a predicted model, not a curated record.